GUUAUAAGUAUCAUAAAAAAACAAGAGCAUCAAAGAUUGAUAUGGUCUAAAAAAACUACUUUAUUGGUAGAAAUUUAAUGAAUAUCUCAGUAGUAAAAAAGAUAGGAGGGAAUACCGGCUAGAAAUUCUGAUGACCUAUGUUUAUUUCUAAAUGGUUCAAAUUUUGUUCAAAAUAUUAAAAUUUAAUGAAGUAAUUUACUAGUAUUAAAAUAUUCAAAUGAAUUAGUAAAUAUCUUUCUGUUUCGAUUUAGUUGUCGUUGUAAGAAAAAAAAUUUGUUUCAAAACAAGUGUCGUUUUAGAGUUUCAAUGUAAAAUUUAUUAAUAAGAUUUUCCACUUUAAUUUUCUAUUGGUUAAAAUAUGGUUAAGUAUAUAGGUAAUUGUGUUUUUAUUUUGGAAAUACACAAAAUCAUAUAUUUUAUUAAUCUGUGUUCAUAAACUUAUAAUGACGAUUAAAAUGAAACAUAUGGAAUAAUUUAUUUGAAGAACAAGUGUUUUUGAUGCUUGCAAAAAAAUAACCUAUUUCCCAUCUCCGAAACUAAUCUUAACACCAUUGUUGGUCAAAAGAUGAGUCUCCGGGAACUGCUGAAAUAUUUAACAACUAUUUAAAAAUAUUUUAUGAAAACUUACGUGGAUGAUUUAAUUACUUUUCCUUGGUUAAUAUAGUACCUACGUCUUGCACAAAAAUUAUACUCGUACCUAUGACAAAGGCAAAGAGUGAGGAGAAGAACAAGUACGACCGCAGGAAAAUCAAGUUCAUUGUAACCUUUAGCGAGACCAAUUACUUUAACUCUCCAAGCGUUUGGAUCAGAAACGCCAAUCGCAGUACACAUAUACUCCGUAAAGCUUCUAGCAACCGCCGCGUUGGACAAAACAUACUCCAAUAGUAUGUUGACUCCUCCAAAAUACCCGAUGAACUCACCUGGCCCAAGUGUAUAGAUAUAUUUAGUAAAGUUCUUAGGCCAUCCAAUUAGGAGCCUCUCAAAAAGAGUCUCAUCUCAAAAAUAAUAAUAUUUUAAUAAGUUAUUUUUUAUUUUAUUUUUUUAAAUGUGAAAAUCUUUCAAAUGAUGUGUUUUUAAACUUCUGAGAGACAUCCUUAUAAUUCUAUUUUUGGUCUCAACAUCGAUGCCUUUAUCCUCAAUAUAAAUAUAUACUCUUUUUCAAGAAAAUUAAAAACGGCUUACUCUUAAAUGUAAAAUGGAAAACGUAAAAGUACAUUUUCCUUCAAAAUAAGUAAUUUUGCAUUUGAGUGAGGAACUACUAUAUAUUAAAUAUUAACAAAAAGAACCAUAAAUAUAAAAAGUUAAAGGAAAAGUGAACUCUUGAAGGGUCAGUACUUUUCUUCUGACAAAGAUAGCAUACGAGAAUGAACAGAAAGGAAUCUCGUAUCCGUACCAUAUUCUCUAGAUCUCUCUGACUGCGACAGCUGACAACUACUAGUAUUAUUUACGUGCCUUUUUCUUUUCAUAAAAAUAAUAAUCUUUGUAUAGGUAAAAGAUGUGUUGGGAUAACAAACAAAAAAACCUCACCAAAUGAUAAAAAUUUUAAAACAAAAGAACAAAAUUUCAUUAAAAAUUAGCCUAUAACUACUUAACAGGAUAUUAGUCAAACUUGAACACUGCAUUAUUUACCAAAUUAUUAUUUAUUAG
Brassica rapa (field mustard) is the source of this 1647-nucleotide long non-coding RNA. RefSeq lists it as uncharacterized. NCBI's taxonomy places the organism in Eukaryota, Viridiplantae, Streptophyta, Magnoliopsida, Brassicales, Brassicaceae. The record is from RefSeq and is a predicted model, not a curated record.